RNAcentral lists this ribosomal RNA (253 nucleotides) under uncultured bacterium. RNAcentral describes it as "partial 16S ribosomal RNA". It matches the Rfam family "Bacterial small subunit ribosomal RNA", at positions 524 to 776 of the family's 1533-position model. The record is from RNAcentral.
UACGUAGGGGGCAAGCGUUGUUCGGAAUUACUGGGCGUAAAGGGCGCGUAGGCGGCACGGCAAGUCGGGAGUGAAAGCCCGGGGCUCAACCCCGGAGGGUCUUCCGAAACUGCCGAGCUAGAGUGCGGAAGAGGCAACCGGAAUUCCCAGUGUAGCGGUGAAAUGCGUAGAUAUUGGGAAGAACACCGGAGGCGAAGGCGGGUUGCUGGGCCGACACUGACGCUGAGGCGCGAAAGCCAGGGGAGCAAACAGG